Molecule: long non-coding RNA, 244 nt
Filed under: Homo sapiens (human)
Lineage: Eukaryota; Metazoa; Chordata; Mammalia; Primates; Hominidae
Description: non-protein coding lnc-CDRT15L2-2:1
Source: RNAcentral
UCAGCAGAUCCCAAGAGGGAAGCUGGCAGCCACGUGGGCAUGUCACUUGUGCCAGCUUUGUCCUGCAGUUUCUGCUUCCUGGAGUGUGGGGCACCCACCCAGGAGAGCACGGGCACACCCCACACCUCUCGUUUUGAGGGUGCUGGGAGGUGUGGGACCUAGGUCCUGCAGCCCUGUGCUUGUGCCGUGAAAAUUAGCCUAGGAGUCCCGUGUCCGCCCAUCCACGUGGAGCCCCAGGAGCCUG